GCCUAAACCCUUGAAAAUCCUUCAUGCUUUCAACAGGAAGGAGCACAGAACUGAUAAUUGUGCUAUUGAUACCUCAGGAUGUAAUAACUAGCCUGAGAAGAAGUGUUUGUCAUGCUUCAUUUUCCAGAAACAGGCAUAUAUCCUACAAGAGCGAGGGUGUUUGUCAUGCUUCGUUUUCCAGAGACAGGCAUAUAUCUUACAAGAGGGAGCAACAUUUGAAGUGAAUAAACCUAAGAAGA
This 239-nucleotide unclassified non-coding RNA is filed under the name Hevea brasiliensis (rubber tree). The record is from RNAcentral. Lineage: Eukaryota; Viridiplantae; Streptophyta; Magnoliopsida; Malpighiales; Euphorbiaceae.